This is an unclassified non-coding RNA of Propithecus coquereli (Coquerel's sifaka), 96 nucleotides long. It matches the Rfam family "Y RNA". From Rfam's summary of the family: Y RNAs are components of the Ro ribonucleoprotein particle (Ro RNP), in association with Ro60 and La proteins. The Y RNAs and Ro60 and La proteins are well conserved, but the function of the Ro RNP is not known. In humans the RNA component can be one of four small RNAs -- hY1, hY3, hY4 and hY5. Lineage: Eukaryota; Metazoa; Chordata; Mammalia; Primates; Indriidae. The record is from Ensembl.
GGCUGGUCCAAUGGUAGUGGGUUAUCAGAACUUAUUAACAUUAGUGUCACUAAAGUUGGUAUAUAACUCCCCAAUGCUAAAUUUAAUUGGCUUUUA